AAGUCGUUGGCGGUAUGCCUUGACUUGCAAGUCGUAUCAGGGUAGCCGUAAGGGUCUGAGGAGUCCUUACCGGGUGAGCAAUACCUCGAAACGUGCCCAAUCGGGGGGGAUAACGGGGCGAAAGCUUUGCUAAUACCGCAUACGAUCUACGGAUGAAAGCGGGGGAUCUUCGGACCUCGCGCGGACGGAGCGGCCGAUGGCAGAUUAGGUAGUUGGUGGGAUAAAAGCUUACCAAGCCGACGAUCUGUAGCUGGUCUGAGAGGAUGAUCAGCCACACUGGGACUGAGACACGGCCCAGACUCCUACGGGAGGCAGCAGUGGGGAAUUUUGGACAAUGGGCGAAAGCCUGAUCCAGCCAUGCCGCGUGCAGGAUGAAGGCCUUCGGGUUGUAAACUGCUUUUGUACGGAACGAAAAGCCUCUUUCUAAUAAAGAGGGGUCAUGACGGUACCGUAAGAAUAAGCACCGGCUAACUACGUGCCAGCAGCCGCGGUAAUACGUAGGGUGCAAGCGUUAAUCGGAAUUACUGGGCGUAAAGCGUGCGCAGGCGGUUUUGUAAGACAGAGGUGAAAUCCCCGGGCUCAACCUGGGAACUGCCUUUGUGACUGCAAGGCUGGAGUGCGGCAGAGGGGGAUGGAAUUCCGCGUGUACAUGAAAUGCGUAAAUAUGCGGAGGAACACCGAUGGCGAAGGAAUCCCCUGGGCCUGCACUGACGCUCUGG
Molecule: ribosomal RNA, 719 nt
Filed under: Diaphorobacter sp. HPC856
Lineage: Bacteria; Pseudomonadati; Pseudomonadota; Betaproteobacteria; Burkholderiales; Comamonadaceae
Description: bacterial SSU rRNA
Rfam family: Bacterial small subunit ribosomal RNA
Source: RNAcentral